CCUACGGGAGGCAGCAGUGGGGAAUAUUGCGCAAUGGGCGAAAGCCUGACGCAGCGACGCCGCGUGAGGGAUGAAGGUCUUCUGAUCGUAAACCUCUGUCAGCAGGGAAGAACGGUCACUUUGCUAAUCAGCAGUGAAUUGACGGUACCUGCAAGGGUAGCACCGGCUAACUCCGUGCCAGCAGCCGCGGGAAUACGGGGGGUGCGAGCGUUAAUCGGAAUUACUGGGGGUAAAGGGGUCGGAGGCGGUAUGUCAAGUCAAGGGUGAAAUCCCCGGGCUCAACGUGGGAACUGCCUUUGAAACUGGCAAACUGGAGUGUGUGAGAGGAUAGUGGAAU
Molecule: ribosomal RNA, 337 nt
Filed under: uncultured bacterium
Lineage: Bacteria
Description: partial 16S ribosomal RNA
Rfam family: Bacterial small subunit ribosomal RNA
Source: RNAcentral